This is a non-coding RNA of Chrysochloris asiatica (Cape golden mole), 465 nucleotides long. NCBI's taxonomy places the organism in Eukaryota, Metazoa, Chordata, Mammalia, Afrosoricida, Chrysochloridae. The record is from the annotation of a RefSeq genome assembly.
AUGAUGGCACAGAACCAGCUUCUUAUGGUGAUGCUGGUCUGGGUCUCAGGUGCCACUGAGGACAUAGCGAUGACUCAGUCUCCAGCCUUCCUGGCUGUGUGUCCAGGUGAAAUGGUCACCAUCAACUACAAAUCCAGUCAGAGUGCGGACACAAACAUAGGCUGGUACCAGCAGAAAGCAGAACGGCCUCUCAAGUCUCUCAUCUAUCUGGCAUCCUCCCUGGCUUCUGGGGUCUCCAACCGGUUCCAUGGUAGUGGGUCUGGGACAGAUUUCACUCUCAGCAUCAACAGUCUCCAAGUUGAAGAUGUGGCACUUUAUUGCUGUCAGCAACGUAAUAGCUUACCACCCACAGAGUUUCAGCCUGGAACAGAAACCUCCUCCCUUGGCUAUGUCUCAAUCCUCUUGGUUUCAGUGGCUGCUCAGAGCUUUACAAAUAUGACCUUUCCUCCUGUCAGUGAGAACUGA